GGCAGCGUAGCUCAGGGGUUAGAGCAAUCGGCUCAUAAUCGAUAGGUCGUUGGUUCGAAUCCAACCGCUGCUACCA
This 76-nucleotide transfer RNA is filed under the name Chloroflexota bacterium. Its description in RNAcentral is "tRNA-Met". It matches the Rfam family "tRNA". Rfam says of the family: Transfer RNA (tRNA) molecules are approximately 80 nucleotides in length. Their secondary structure includes four short double-helical elements and three loops (D, anti-codon, and T loops). The record is from RNAcentral. Lineage: Bacteria; Bacillati; Chloroflexota.